This 506-nucleotide ribosomal RNA is filed under the name uncultured bacterium. RNAcentral's name for it is "partial 16S ribosomal RNA". It matches the Rfam family "Bacterial small subunit ribosomal RNA", at positions 28 to 523 of the family's 1533-position model. The record is from RNAcentral.
GAUGAACGCUAGCUACAGGCUUAACACAUGCAAGUCGAGGGGUAACGGGAGGAAAGCUUGCUUUCCUUGUCGACGACCGGCGCACGGGUGAGUAACGCGUAUCCAACCUGCCCCCAACUAGGGAAUAACCUUGCGAAAGUAAGACUAAUACCCUAUAAUUUCCUCAGAUGUCAUCUGACGAGGAAUAAAGAUUUAUCGGUUGUGGAUGGGGAUGCGUCUGAUUAGCUUGUUGGCGGGGUAACGGCCCACCAAGGCAACGAUCAGUAGGGGUUCUGAGGGGAAGGUCCCCCACAUUGGAACUGAGACGCGGUCCAAACUCCUACGGGAGGCAGCAGUGAGGAAUAUUGGUCAAUGGGCGGAAGCCUGAACCAGCCAAGUAGCGUGCAGGAUGACGGCCCUAUGGGUUGUAAACUGCUUUUAUACAGGAAUAAAGUUAGCCACGUGUGGUUAUUUGUAGGUACUGUAUGAAUAAGGACCGGCUAAUUCCGUGCCAGCAGCCGCCGCCG